UUCCAUAGGUGUAUAGUCUUCAAAUUAUAGUUAUAGUUAUAGAUCUAGAUUAGAUAGAAUAAAAUUCUCUCACCUAUUUUUGUGUCUUGAAUUGAUUGAUUGAAUGCAAGAAAAGUCAUGUCUUCUUACUCUUCUCUGAUCUGCAUAUCCAUUGAAUUUAGCUCCGGUAACAUGCUCUAUUUUGCUCUGGUCAUUGUGGAUUGGUGGUGGUAUUAGAGAUUGCGGUUAGGCAUUAAUUGGGACUAUUGUGGUUACAAGCAUUAUGGUCAACCUAUGAAAUACAUAUAUUCUUCAGCAUUUCCCAAACAAGGUGUCAAGAACAAUUCUGAAAGAAAAGCGCAAAACAAACAUUCUUAUUGAUGACCAGACACAGAGAAAGUAUAAGUGUCGCCUCAUUACCGCCGAAAGAGCAUGCUAUGAAAAAUACUUGGAUGGGCAGUGGUUCAAUUUCUGCAGAGAACGUGUCAUGGAAGAAGGUGGUAAGCUCAUCUUUGAUCUCGAAAAGUCACCGAAGAACUUGCACGUUCGAGUUGUUCCAAAAUAGAUCUUUGCUGCUGAACGAUUUGAACUUCUACUAUUUUGGCGUAUCGCUUUGGACUGUAAUCGUAAACUAUCUUGUCUUUGGGAU
Molecule: long non-coding RNA, 628 nt
Organism: Medicago truncatula (barrel medic)
Lineage: Eukaryota; Viridiplantae; Streptophyta; Magnoliopsida; Fabales; Fabaceae
Exons: 3
Source: RefSeq, a predicted model, not a curated record